Molecule: unclassified non-coding RNA, 206 nt
Filed under: rhizosphere metagenome
Description: partial ribosomal RNA internal transcribed spacer region
Source: RNAcentral
GAGUUUGAAAGGGGUUGUUGCUGGCCUUCCGGGGCAUGUGCACACCUCGCUCAUCCAUCUACACCUGUGCACCUAUUGUAGUUCAGGGGCUUGAGGCUCGCGCCGCUCGUCCCUUGUCCUACGUUUUAUACACACUCUUCAGUUCAGAAUGUCUACCGCGAUAAAACGCAUUAAAUACAACUUUCAACAACGGAUCUCUUGGCUCU